UUACUCUCACAAAUGGAGUCACAUACAGGAUUCAAAGAGCUCUGAAAUUAGGAAAAUAGCUUCUUAAGAUUUAAAAUGACUAGUGUUGGGGAGAGUAGAAGGGGUCAGUUCAACCUAAGUGUGACUCUGGAUAUCAACUCAGUCACUCCUAGAAUUAACUUGGCCCAAAAUAUUUUGUAAAGCACUGAAAGGUUGGUAAAAGAUCUAUAGAAUGUGUGGUUAUAUAUCACUGGUUCACAUAUACACUAAUCACUCCAUAAAGGAAGUCCAUCUCCUAUUUUCAAACACUUCUCUCUUUUUCUAUAUGUAGAACUGAUGAAAGAAUGUCAAAAUUGAAAAAUACAUAUAACCUUUGCCAAAUGAAUUCAGAAGAUGAGUGACAUUACCCGAUAAGCUUGGCCUGGAUGGAGUACUGUUCCUCAUUGUGACAAAUGAACAGUUUCCUAUAAAUAUUCCUUCAUCUGCAUUUGUUUUCUUCAGACUCUAAUCUCUUAAUUUAUAUUUUCCAUCCACUUUGAGUCUUGAGUAAUAAAGCGUGAUUAGAUCUGCACAUAUAAGACAAAUUGCUGGACUGGUUUAUAUCUGUGUUAGAGCGGGGACCUGCUCUGCACUUAAAGGUCUAAUUGAAUUCUUACUCCAGAAAUGUGAAUUCUUCAUUUGAAGUCUUGGCCAAAAAUAGAAAUUGAUGAGUUUUACAAAUGUGAAGGCUCUAUGAUAAAUAAUUUUUCAGUGUUGAUUCUUAGCCGUACCAGUGGAGAAUCUGAUACUUCUUUGUCAAACUUCAUCCAUCUGCCCAAAAAUCUGAUAAUAUUUUGUGAAGAGAACAGUCUCUGUGACAUGAUCCUGUCAGAUUCUUUUGGAAUGUAAGGGCAGUGAUAGCUGAGAAAAUCAAGAGUUUCUACUUGUUACUUCAAAGCUGCUAAAUAUAUUUAGAAUAACAAAUCAGUAACACAAGACUCUACAGUAAAAAAUGUGCUAGUGCUACUGUGGUUGCAAUGCUCUAUUCAAUUUAAAUUCAAAGACAGACAUUUAAAACUUUUUUCAGUGGUCUCACUUUUAAGCUAAAUAUAAACAUUGACUUUUUUUUUUAAUACCGUGUUGAAUCUGUUCUUGUAACAAGUAAACAUUCUGUAAGCCUUAUCAUAAAAAUAAUUUGAAAAAGUAUUUCUGGUAUACAGGUCAAACUCUUCCCUAGUAAUUUUGUUGAACUAUUUCACUGCA
Non-coding RNA from Meleagris gallopavo (turkey), 1221 nucleotides. Lineage: Eukaryota; Metazoa; Chordata; Aves; Galliformes; Phasianidae. The record is from RefSeq and is a predicted model, not a curated record.